CCUAUCGACCCCGCGGUUUGGUACCUCGAUGUCGGCUUUUCCUAUCCUGGUCCUGCAGCAGGGGCCAAGGGUGAGGCUGCUCGCCUAUUAAAAGGGAACAUGAGCUGGGUUUAGACCGUCGUGAGACAGGUCGGUCUCUGCCUGAUGGAAGCGUCGCUGUCUGAGGGGAAGUUGCUUUUAGUACGAGAGGAACAGAGCAGCGUGGCCGCUGGUCUACUGGUUGUCCGACAGGGCAGGCCAGGCAGCUAAGCCAUUUAGGUUAAGUGCUGAAAGCAUCUAAGCACGAAGCCUAUCCCGAGACAUGACAGCGUUACAUUAGUUGAAGAUCCGCAGCAGAAGACUGCGUUGAUAGAGUGGAGGUGUAGAUCACAAGCUUCGGCGAGUGGUGAGCCUGCCACUACUAAUCGAUCAAAACAUCGGUA
This 422-nucleotide ribosomal RNA is filed under the name uncultured marine thaumarchaeote KM3_11_F08. Its description in RNAcentral is "bacterial LSU rRNA". It matches the Rfam family "Archaeal large subunit ribosomal RNA", at positions 2570 to 2987 of the family's 2987-position model. The record is from RNAcentral. Lineage: Archaea; Thermoproteati; Nitrososphaerota.